RNAcentral lists this ribosomal RNA (782 nucleotides) under uncultured bacterium. Its description in RNAcentral is "bacterial SSU rRNA". It matches the Rfam family "Bacterial small subunit ribosomal RNA", at positions 8 to 804 of the family's 1533-position model. The record is from RNAcentral.
AGAGUUUGAUCCUGGCUCAGGACGAACGCUGGCGGCGUGCUUAACACAUGCAAGUCGAGCGAUGAAGUUUCUUCGGAAAUGGAUUAGCGGCGAGCGGGUGAGGAACACGUGAAGAAUCUGCCCUCCACUUUGGGAUAACACCGGGAAACCGGUGCUAAUACCGAAUAUUGAAACAUAAGUGGCAUCACUGAGUUUUGAAAGAAUUUCGGUGGAGGAUGACUUCGCGGCCUAUCAGCUAGUUGGUGAGGUAAUGGCUCACCAAGGCAACGACGGGUAGCCGGCCUGAGAGGGCGACCGGCCACACUGGGACUAAGACACGGCCCAGACUCCUAGGGGAGGCAGCAGUGGGGAAUAUUGGGCAAUGGAGGAAACUCUGACCCAGCGACGCCGCGUGCGGGAUGAAGGCCUUCGGGUUGUAAACCGCUUUCAGUAGGGAAGAAGCGAAAGUGACGGUACCUACAAAAGAAGCACCGGCUAACUAUGUGCCAGCAGCCGCGGUAAUACAUAGGGUGCAAGCGUUGUCCGGAAUUAUUGGGCGUAAAGAGCUCGUAGGUCGUUUGUUACGUCGGAUGUGAAAACCUGAGGCUCAACCUCAGGCCUGCAUUCGAUACGGGCAAACUAGAGUUUGGUAGGGGAGACUGGAAUUCCUGGUGUAGCGGUGGAAUGCGCAGAUAUCNNGAGGAACACCAAUGGCGAAAGCAGGUCUCUGGGCCAAUACUGACACUGAGGAGCGAAAGUCUGGGGAGCGAACAGGAUUAGAUACCCUGGUAGUCCAGACCGUA